RNAcentral lists this long non-coding RNA (1213 nucleotides) under Monodelphis domestica (gray short-tailed opossum). Its description in RNAcentral is "lncRNA (ENSMODG00000041790.1)". The record is from RNAcentral. Lineage: Eukaryota; Metazoa; Chordata; Mammalia; Didelphimorphia; Didelphidae.
CGCUUCAACAUCUCCAAUGGCGUGAAACAAGGCUGUGGUCCUCACUCCGGUACUAUUCAACCUAUACUUCACCCAAGUAUUACGACAUGCUGUGAUGGAUCUAGAUCUGGGCGUCUACAUCAAAUACCGACUGGAUGGCUCACUAUUCGACCUUUGCCGCCUGACUGCAAAAACAAAGACAACAGAGAGACUCAUCCUGGAAGCUCUCUUUGCAGAUGACUGUGCUCUCAUGGCCCACCAAGAAAAUCAUCUCCAAACCAUUGUGGACAGGUUCUCCACUGCAACAAAACUGUUUGGCCUGACUAUCAGCCUCAGCAAAACAGAGGUGCUGUUCCAACCUGCACCAGGGAGGCCAACGAACCAACCGUGCAUUACAAUCGAUGGCACGCAGCUUUCUAAUGUCAACACCUUCAAGUACCUGGGCAGCACCAUCGCCAACGAUGGGUCCCUAGACCAUGAGAUCAAUGCCAGGAUCCAAAAGGCCAGCCAGGCACUCGGGCGGCUGCGCUCCAAAGUCCUCCAACACAGCGGUGUAAGCACUGCGACGAAGCUCAAAGUGUACAACGCAGCGGUCCUCAGCUCGCUCCUGUACGGUUGUGAGACAUGGACACUAUACCGGAAGCACAUGAAACAGCUGGAGCAAUUCCACCAACACUCCCUCCGGUCAAUCAUGAGGAUCCGAUGGCAGGACCGAAUCACCAAUCAGGAAGUCCUUGACAGAACCAACUCCACCAGCAUGGAAGUCCUGGUCCUCCAAACCCAGCUACGAUGGUCUGGACAUGUCAUCCACGUGGACCCACAGCGAAUACUAAGACAGGUAUUCUAUGGUGAACUGUCAACUGGACUCAGGAAACAAGGCCAACCAAAGAGAAGAUUCAAGGAUCAGCUAAAGUCCAACUUGAAGUGGGCUGGCAUCACACCAAAGCAACUAGAACUCGCUGCCUCUGGCAGAAGCAGCUGGCGAACCCACAUUCACCAUUCCGCCACCACCUUUGAAGAUGAGCGAUGUCGACGUCUUGCCGCUGCGCGUGAAUGCCGACACCAGGCCACAGCCGCACCUCCCAUAACAACUGGCGUCCCAUGCCCCAUGUGUCACAAACUCUGCGCCUCAGCCUUUGGACUCCAAAGCCACAUGAGGGUACAUCAAUAGAUGAUAAUGCACAAAGACAAUAGUCAUUCUCGAUCACCGAGAGACUACUAUAUAGUGAGAGAG